AGAGUGAACGCUGGCGGCAGGCCUAAUACAUGCAAGUCGAACGGCAGCACGGCAGAGCUUGCUCUGUGGGUGGCGAGUGGCGGACGGGUGAGGAAUACAUGGGAAUCUGCCCAGUCGUGGGGGAUAACGUAGGGAAACUUACGCUAAUACCGCAUGCGCCCUUCGGGGGAAAGCCGGGGACCUUCGGGCCUGGCGCGAUUGGAUGAGCCCAUGUCGGAUUAGCUAGUUGGCGGGGUAACGCCCACCAAGGCGACGAUCCGUAGCUGGUCUGAGAGGAUGAUCAGCCACACUGGAACUGAGACACGGUCCAGACUCCUAACGGGAGCAGCAGUAGGGAAUAUUGGACAAGUGGGCACAAACCUGGUCCAGCCAAUCGCCGCGUGAGUGAAGAAGGCCUUGGUUGACAAAGCUCGUUUGUACCGAAAGAAAAGCCGUACGGUCAACGUACCCCGGAGUACCUGAACCGGUACCGAAGAAUAAGCACCGGACUAACGUCGUGCCAGCAGCCG
RNAcentral lists this ribosomal RNA (509 nucleotides) under uncultured soil bacterium. RNAcentral's name for it is "bacterial SSU rRNA". It matches the Rfam family "Bacterial small subunit ribosomal RNA", at positions 26 to 517 of the family's 1533-position model. The record is from RNAcentral.